AUGACUUCCACUAACAUAGAUGGAGGAUGUAUAGCCCGUUUCAAUGAGACACCCAGGGCCCUGAGUAUUGUGGUUGGAGUUCUGGCUUAAAUUCAGACACUGGAAAACACAAGUAAUAAGAAGACCAUUUUGAGAAGAGCAGAUAGUCGCCUUAAGAAAAUCCCUGUCAUAUGCACUCUGGGAUUUGGACUCAAAUCCUAAUUAUACAGUGGGUAUGAGUGAUACAGAAGAACGUAUAUGAGGCAGAGGUUGAUUCUUCCAGACUCUAGGAGGAAAAGCAUCGAAGAUAUUCCACAGAGAAACCUGAAAGCAUCGUAAAGUUUUCACAGUUUUUCUCAUGAGUUGUGACAGGAUGACAACAAAACUACUGCCUUAAUUACACGAAGAUUGGAAGGUGUGUAACAGCCCCUCAAGAUGACUGAAGAAAUUUCACAUGAAAUACAAACCUCAAGACUAGCAUUUAAAUAUGCCAAGAUAAAAAUUUUAAAGUCCCAUAAUGGCCACAAUCUUGAUGUUCUAUCCGUUCGUUGAUGUAGGCUGCUGUUUACAUUUGGAACCAAAAGCCAACUAGCCCUUUUUAGCAUGACGUGAAUAUAUUUUCUAAAAAUUAGUUACAACCUUCACUGGAAAUCUUCUGGUUCCCACAAAGUCAUUUAAGGUAAAAACUGCAAAAGAUAUGAAGUGAUGGACUUCUAAUAAUGAAUUAUUUCACCUAGUGACAUUAUUUAUGUAUAUUGGGUAGUCCAGAUCUCACAGUUGAGCAAAUUUCCCCAAAGCCAAGUCACAGCUUGCCAUUACCCUCUGUAUUUGAAGAUGACAUUCCUGGUCAUGAGUGUGCUCCAAGUGGAAGCGUAGAAGGAGAAACCGAUAUGCAAUAACACUUUCCACAUGUAGAGAUGACUCCUUAAUUUUCAAGGUUUUCUAAGACUUGACUGCCCAGAUGUUGUAUUAAAAAGACCAACAGUCUCUGACUGCUGCAUGCCGUAGGCCUCUGCGCCAGCCAGGUGUUUGGACUGCAGCAGCUAAUAAACGUGAGAGCAUUUCUAUUUUCUAUUUUCUUUGCCUGCCUCCUCCUCGGUUCACUGUACAGCAGUGGCUUCGGGAUCUGACUGUCAUUCAUUCUCCACACAUCUAUAGCCUCAGAGGGUUGUGCUGUGAUGAGCCGUAGCACUUCUAUACUGGCAGACUGGCUGAGUUCCAGCCCUUGUUUUAAAGGAUCCUGUCUUGCCAGUUAAUGUAAAGUAUUGCUCUGGUCUGGGCCAGUGAGUUCAGGAGCAAGGUUCUCGUGAAGGUCUGCUAGGGCCCUGGAAUGCUACUUAGGGACCACCUCCAGUCUCUGAUCACUAAAUCAGUGAUGUUCGUGGAGGUUAAAUGCAUGUCAAAAGGAAAAGGAUCAUUAAUGUGUUCUAUGUAUUCAAAAGGCAAUGGAUUUUAUCCUUAACCCUCCCCUAUUACUAAUAAGGUGAGAUAUGGUUUACUGAGUGAUCCAAGACUAACCAAGAUGACAACUGUAUUGGAGGUCAAUUCAGAGGAAGACAAGCAAAUUUGCAGCAUAUAUUCUGUAAGAUAUAGAACUGACACCAAAGUCAAAGCUGAGGAGUUGGUGCUCAUAGUUAUAGCUCAAAAAUGUAAACAAAAACUCAACAACUUUAGAAAACUCUCCUAAAGAUUUAACUGACUACAUAGGAAAGAGCCUAAACACGUAGAUGGCACAACAGAUUAUCUCCUCCAGCAGCUGUCAUCAGAGAGGUAAAGAACUUCUACUCCAUUUUGCAGCAACUAAGUCCAGAUGCUAUUAUUACUUAAGAAUAGGAAGCCGGAGAACCUAUAUAUACAGCUGUGUACCACCUGACCACCACAGCCCCGUGUACUAUAUCCUAAUGCCAGUAGAUGUGGAGAAUGAAGAGAAAUGUAAAAAUUUAAUAAAGUUUAGAACUAACACUGUCUCUUUAUGUCCAAACUAGUUUGAUUAUUCAUUAUUUGGAUGUUUUUUUUUUCUUUGUAAUAAUGUCGUAACCUCAUAAGUUACUUUUAAAAAAGAGAAAGAAUGAAUGAAGAAAAUAUGUGAAAGAAAAUGCCUGUAAACCUGAUGUUGAUGUCUCUGAGCUAUUGUAAACUGCUGAGCAAAUGCUUAGAUUGAUAAUAUGAAUGCUUUCAUUUCUGGAGUGGAAGAAAAGUGAAAUUAGUAAUGUGAUGUAAUUAAAAUAUUAUGUCUUCUGUAACAUGUUCUAGAUAUACUAUUUGUUAUGUCAUAUA
Long non-coding RNA from Canis lupus familiaris (dog), 2256 nucleotides. RefSeq lists it as uncharacterized. The transcript has 4 exons. NCBI's taxonomy places the organism in Eukaryota, Metazoa, Chordata, Mammalia, Carnivora, Canidae. The record is from RefSeq and is a predicted model, not a curated record.